GACAUACAUACAUACAUACAUACACAGACACAUACACUAACAGAUAUACUGACACACACACAAAGACAUACACUGACAAAUAUACUGACACACACAGGCAUACUGACAGAUACAUUGACACACACACACAGGCAUACUGACAGACACACACACACAGGCAUACUGACAUACACACAGACAGACGUACUGGCAGAUACAGACAGACAUUAAAACAUUCACAGAUACAUACUGACACAUACACUGACAUACAAAUAUAUCCUGGCAGACAUAUUGAGACACACACACACACACACAGACAUACACACACAGACACAUACACUGACAGGCCUACUGACACACACAUACACACAGACAUACUUACAUACACACAGACAUACUGACACACACAGACAUGCUGAAACACACACACAGACAUACUGACAUACACACAGACAGACGUACUGGCACAUACACACGGACAGACAUUAAAACAUUCACAGAUACAUACUGACACACAUACACUGACAUACAAAUAUAUCCUGGCAGACAUAUUGACACACACACACACUGACAUACAUACAUACACA
This is a non-coding RNA of Pelobates cultripes (western spadefoot toad), 566 nucleotides long. NCBI's taxonomy places the organism in Eukaryota, Metazoa, Chordata, Amphibia, Anura, Pelobatidae. The record is from the annotation of a GenBank genome assembly.